This 146-nucleotide ribosomal RNA is filed under the name uncultured bacterium. Its description in RNAcentral is "partial 16S ribosomal RNA". It matches the Rfam family "Bacterial small subunit ribosomal RNA", at positions 356 to 504 of the family's 1533-position model. The record is from RNAcentral.
GGGGAAUAUUGCACAAUGGGGGAAACCCUGAUGCAGCGACGCCGCGUGAGUGAAGAAGUAUUUCGGUAUGUAAAGCUCUAUCAGCAGGGAAGAACGGAACUAAAGUUCCGGGGACGGUACCUGAGUAAGAAGCCCCGGCUAACUAC